CUGAUGGCCCAAUUAUCUUAAACAAAAUAACAUCAUCUCCCAAACUUCUCAACCAAGUUAUGCACACAGAAGCUUUUAAGCACAGUAGUAUCUAGUAAAAAUCAGAAAUUGAAAACAAUCGAAUCAAGUAUUAAAUUAAUUAAGGAAACAUAAUGACAAAUACAGAUUUCAACACUUGGAGCUAUUAAAAAAAAUCAAGACAAAAUAGAGACGAACCUUAAGGAUUGAAACUUUAUAUUUAUUUGAUAGAAUUUCCAGUCACGUUCAAAGCUUGAAAAAUGAAUCGGCAACCAAACUUAAACAACGGUAACAACCACACCGGAGAAACUCGAAUAGAACUUAUCGAAGAGACAAUUAUCGACCCGACUCGAACUUGUGGUGGCGUUUUGCAGCUGGGUUUGUUGCUGAUUUUCAGCUAACUUUUUGUUGCUUUUUUUACUAUUUUCGCAGCUAAUUUGCUGUUAUUUUUGGAGCUGGAUUUUUCGUCUUUUUUGGCUAAAAAAAGGGCGAGAGUUGCUGAGUUUUUGGCUAAUUUUUGGGCUGGUUUUGCUGGUUUUAAGAGGUGAAGUUUGGUGUAUUUUUACUGGCUUUUGGGAGGUUGCUUUGAGACUGCUUCAAGAUAGGUUUCAUGGAUGUUUAGAUCUGGUUUUUAGGUGGCUUUUGGGGUUAGUUUUAUGGGUGUUUUGGUGAGGUUUUGGAGCUGGUUAGCAGGUGUUGAGGUAAGGGAGGGUCACUGGUGUUUCUCAAGUGUAAGAUUUAAUGGAGUUUUUUGGAUGAAUUUGGUUGGCUCCUCGAGAAGAAGGUGAAAAGCAGUUCAAGACCAAAAUGAGGGGGUCCUCCAAGGUCAGAAACGGCGGAUUGUCUUGUAGACAAUGGAUCUAUAUUUUUU
RNAcentral lists this long non-coding RNA (889 nucleotides) under Nicotiana tabacum (common tobacco). RNAcentral describes it as "long non-coding RNA (NTAB_LNC009889)". Lineage: Eukaryota; Viridiplantae; Streptophyta; Magnoliopsida; Solanales; Solanaceae. The record is from RNAcentral.